UCCCUGGUGGUCCAGUGGUUAGGACUCUGCACUUGCACUGCCAAGGGCCUGGGUUCGAUCCCUGGUUGGAGAA
This 73-nucleotide transfer RNA is filed under the name Bos taurus (domestic cattle). It matches the Rfam family "tRNA". Rfam says of the family: Transfer RNA (tRNA) molecules are approximately 80 nucleotides in length. The record is from Rfam by way of RNAcentral. Lineage: Eukaryota; Metazoa; Chordata; Mammalia; Artiodactyla; Bovidae. RNAcentral also lists the same sequence under 3 other names.